CUUUUUCCCUCUCAGGUUACGUUCCUGUGUUAUUUUAGUGGCAUCAUCCAGGUUGUUUCAUUGCCACACUUACAUUUCCCUUGUACUUUUUCCUGUCUAGAACUUUCUCUUUUUGUUUUAAAUUGAAACUUGCAGAUUAGAAAUGAAAAGGCAAGAAAAUACCUCAUUAACACGCAGAGGAAAAAAACCGAUCCUGUUUGCACAAAAAUUUCCAAUGGCGUUGCAGCUGCUUGAACGCUUGCUUAUGUUUGACCCUAAAGAUCGAACAUCUGAAGAGGAGUACUGUCAACAACGAAACAGUUUAUGAUGUCGUUUUAUUUACCAAGGAAAUUGUUGAGUCUGAUGAAUGCGCGAAGACUUUAUCUCAUCCAUUGGUGCAUUCGAGAAAUUAGAUGAUCCCUAUUAUGUGGUUUGUCAAAAGUGGAUCACCAUCUACUCAGCCAAUGUCGAAGCUUGAGUUUGGAUUUGAGAGAAGGAAAUUGAUAAAAAAAAAAAAAGAUGCUAGAGACAUGAGGUACGGUUUUUUCCCAUUAUGACUGCUACUUUGUUUGUGAAAAAGUGAUCUACAUAAUUCUGAAUUCUCUUGAACUAAUAGAUUUAAAUUAUCAUCCUGAGAUGCCUCAGGAGUCUUUGUGGCAGUGAUCAUACUAGGUGCUUUGUCUGAAAGGUUAGUUGCUACCAAAAGCUUGUACAAGAAAUAUGUUCUUCUGGUAAAGGUUGUUCUGCAUUUUUACGUUCAACCACCAAAAAAGUUAAAGUUUCUAAUACAAUUUUUAAUCCUAUGAUGUGGACAACUUAGGUUUUCAUUGUUAGAUCUUGAUGUUGGUUUCGUUCUUUAUUCUUCCUCUAUCUCACAAUUUAUGGUUGUUACAGAUCGUAAGGAAAGCAACGACUUUAAUCUAACAAUCACACAUUUGAUUUUCCUGAUGGCAACUUUGAUUAUCAUCUAAUCGGUGAUAAUUAUGAGUAUAUGGUGGAUAUUAUAGGAGAGACAAUCAUCAUCUUGUUCGUGUUUGAGCAUGGCCGUUUCCAAAGUCUCCUCUCCAACAUACGCAUACAUCGUGAAAUUAAGUUUUGAGUGAGGAGAUUGAAAUAAGAUGCUUGAAACCAAUUAAAACUAAUUAUUGAACCCUUGCUAUUUUUGAUGCUUUUUCUGGUGAUACUUUUGUAUAACAAUCAAAGCUGAGCAGCAGUUGCCAUAAUAGAUAGCCAUAACUCUAACAUGAGGGGAAAAAAGAAAACUGUUUCAUAUUAUUGCAUCUUUGUUUAGAAGGGUUCCUUUUUCUAUGAUCAAAUGCUCUAGUGACUCAAUAGUGGAUCCAUAAUAUUUCUUUGGAUCCAAUUGAUCAUGUUCUAUUUCCAAGAGUGAUGCUGGUUCGUGCAUUCUAGUAGUAAUGAUUUACUCAAUUAUUUUUAGUUGAGUGUUUAUUUUUCAGACUCCUCACUGCAUAUUAAUGGGGCUUAGUGUGUCGUGUCAAAUAAUGUUGCUUCGACUGAAUAAAGUUAUUGCACCAAAUAUACUGUAAAAUGCAAUGAAAAUUUCUUAUGGGUGGUGCUUUUAUAUCAAUUUAUUGGAGUUGUUUGGUUCGAGUCACAAUUUGCAUAUCUCGAGGAGCAUUGUGGGUGAACAAACCACUCCACUUCGGAGGAAGCAUGCUUCCUUGCCUAGGUAACCUUGGAGCAACGGUCAAGUUGUUUUCGUGUGACCUAUAGGUCACAGGUUCGAGCCCUGGAAUCAAUCACUGGUCUUGCAUCAGGGUAGACUGCCUACAUUAUACCUCCUUGGGGUGCGACCCUUCCCCGGAUUCUGCGUGAACGCGGGAUGCUUUGUGCACUGAGCUGCCCUUUCGACAGUGGCGGAGCCAAAAUUUUCAUUAAAGAGAGUUAAAAUAUAAAAAAGUAAAGGGUGCAUGUGGCUCCGCCACUGCCUUUCGAUACAAAUCAUUGUAAUCAAGUGUGUUCUCAUUAACUUAGAAAGUAAUUUUGGUAAAUUUUCAGGUUAUAUUCCUUCUUUUUCUAAUACUUGUGCCUUCUUUUGCGCUAUGGGAUUUGUGGAUAACAGAAGUGGCCUACAUUCUGGUUGUAAGUGCCUUGUGAUUUAGUAAAUCAUUUGACCCCUUUGUUUUGGAUAUUUACACAUUCUUUGUCACUUGAGACACCUGUGAUAUGUUCACAAAACCAAUAAUCAAUUACUCUUCUUGUAUUUCUCCAUCUGACAUAAUUCCUCUAAUAGGAUUCUCUUAAAUAUAUUUUCGUAGGCAGAACCAAUUGAAGGCGACACAAUGAAGCUGAUGGUUUAUCUUAAAAAAGUUGCUGCACUUCAUGCCUAGUUUAACUCUUUAGCAAUUACACUUAGAUGUCUUGAUUCUGUAAAUUAUCAGUAUGUAGGGUCAGCUAUAUUUAUUCUGUAAACUUAAUUCCUAAGUUUUGUAUACCAUGAAGAUCAUAAUUGGUCUCCUGCUAUUUCUGAAUUGAGACGACAUUUUUAUAUUUCUUGUUAGAUAAAUGGUAAUUAGUUGCUGUA
Molecule: long non-coding RNA, 2524 nt
Organism: Nicotiana tabacum (common tobacco)
Lineage: Eukaryota; Viridiplantae; Streptophyta; Magnoliopsida; Solanales; Solanaceae
Source: RefSeq, a predicted model, not a curated record